GCAUAUCAAUAAGCGGAGGAAAAGAAACCAACAGGGAUUGCCUCAGUAACGGCGAGUGAAGCGGCAACAGCUCAAAUUUGAAAUCUGGCCUCUUUUGGGGUCCGAGUUGUAAUUUGUAGAGGAUGUUUCGGGUACCGCCUCGGCCUAAAUUUCUUGGAACAGAAUGUCAAAGAGGGUGAGAAUCCCGUCUUGGACCGGCGGUAGGGCCCAUGUGAAACUCCUUCGACGAGUCGAGUUGUUUGGGAAUGCAGCUCAAAAUGGGUGGUAAAUUUCAUCUAAAGCUAAAUAUUGGCCAGAGACCGAUAGCGCACAAGUAGAGUGAUCGAAAGAUGAAAAGAACUUUGAAAAGAGAGUUAAACAGUAUGUGAAAUUGUUGAAAGGGAAGCGCUUGCAACCAGACUUGAGCGCGGCGGUUCCCCCUUCCUUUUGGUUGGGUUACUCCGUCGUGUCCAGGCCAACAUCGGUUCUGGGGGUCGGUUAAAGGCUCGGGGAAUGUAUCUACUCCUUCGGGGGUAGACUUAUAGCCCCGGGCGUCAUACGACCUCCCGGGACCGAGGAACGCGCUUCGGCUCGGAUGUUGGCGUAAUGGUUGUCAGCGACCCGUCUUGAAACACGGACC
This 619-nucleotide ribosomal RNA is filed under the name Exophiala moniliae. RNAcentral's name for it is "LSU rRNA". It matches the Rfam family "Eukaryotic large subunit ribosomal RNA", at positions 38 to 667 of the family's 3401-position model. The record is from RNAcentral. Lineage: Eukaryota; Fungi; Ascomycota; Eurotiomycetes; Chaetothyriales; Herpotrichiellaceae.